RNAcentral lists this ribosomal RNA (465 nucleotides) under Vreelandella stevensii. RNAcentral's name for it is "partial 16S ribosomal RNA". It matches the Rfam family "Bacterial small subunit ribosomal RNA", at positions 338 to 795 of the family's 1533-position model. Lineage: Bacteria; Pseudomonadati; Pseudomonadota; Gammaproteobacteria; Oceanospirillales; Halomonadaceae. The record is from RNAcentral.
GCUACGGGAGGCUGCAGUGGGGAAUAUUGGACAAUGGGGGCAACCCUGAUCCAGCCAUGCCGCGUGUGUGAAGAAGGCCCUCGGGUUGUAAAGCACUUUCAGUGAGGAAGAACGCCUGGUGGUUAAUACCCAUCAGGAAAGACAUCACUCACAGAAGAAGCACCGGCUAACUCCGUGCCAGCAGCCGCGGUAAUACGGAGGGUGCGAGCGUUAAUCGGAAUUACUGGGCGUAAAGCGCGCGUAGGUGGCUUGAUAAGCCGGUUGUGAAAGCCCCGGGCUCAACCUGGGAACGGCAUCCGGAACUGUCAAGCUAGAGUGCAGGAGAGGAAGGUAGAAUUCCCGGUGUAGCGGUGAAAUGCGUAGAGAUUGGGAGGAAUACCAGUGGCGAAGGCGGCCUUCUGGACUGACACUGACACUGAGGUGCGAAAGCGUGGGUAGCAAACAGGAUUAGAUACCCUUGUAGUC